This 1080-nucleotide long non-coding RNA is filed under the name Olea europaea subsp. europaea. The record is from RNAcentral. Lineage: Eukaryota; Viridiplantae; Streptophyta; Magnoliopsida; Lamiales; Oleaceae.
GCCAAAUAUAUUGAUUUUGAAAGAAGAACGAUAGGAACCCCAACUCCAAAGUAGGGAAGAAAUUCAAUUAGUUGGUACAAGCUACCUUCGUCAGCUGCGGUAUAGUGCCGAGCUACGUUAAAUUUGUUAGUUUUGUAGCCAAACACACUCAGAAGGAAGUGUAAUAAAGGUAACUUUAAUCCAUUUUAGGUACCAAUUUUUCCUGUUUGAUCGUUAAAUUUGUAUUUCCUCUAUUUCAAAAUUUUUGGCUGUCGAGUUCAAAUCAUGGCUCCGUUAUUGCCUUAGACGUUUGAACACCAAGUCUAGACGUGAUUUCAGUGUAAUUUUUAGUAUAAUUGAUAGUCAUGACUUUUACGUUUCCAAGGGUUGUUCUUCACUUGUUGUACUCAAGCACAUUCUGCCAGAUUUUCUGAAAAUUUACUCUGUUUUCAUUUGCUUUUGACAGUGCAUGCUGCAUAUAAAUUUUAAUCUACAAUAGUUUGUAUGUUAUGCUACUGCUUGAUAGUGGUGAAUCACGAUGUAUUCAGCAGUAAUAUUUAUGUUUUGUUUAAUUAAAAUUCUUGAACUUUUUUGGAAGUUCUGGAUAUGGUGCAUAAUAAUGUGGACUUGAAAGCUUGUAUUGUUGAUUUUGGUUUUGAUUCUAGUAAGAAGCCUGACGAUGCAUUUGGGCUCCCUCAGCAACCGAGCACUACUAGUGUGAUUCACUCAAUGGUGUCAGCUAAAUAUUAUGCUAUAAUAUGAAAGUGGACGACUUGGAAUAUCCGUGGAGGAGUUGUUGUUGUAGUGUUCAUCGGAUGACGUGGAAGUUAACUUUGAAGAAAUGGUUGACGAAUUCCAACAAAUGGAUGAGGCUGAAUUCUGGAAGCUAAGAGCGGCAAGUGCACGAAAAAGAAGAGCUGUGAAGACGACAAAAUCUGCAUCCGUUCUGUGUAAAGACAUUGAUACUAAUCUGUAGUGCAGUGCAAUGUAAAACUUUUAAUUUUGGUUGUAACUAUUGGUUAAAAUACAUCGGUUUUUAUUUUUGUGAUGUAAAGGAAAGACAAUGUAUGUGCUUGUGUUGGUUUAAACUUUCAAUGGACG